Molecule: long non-coding RNA, 1235 nt
Filed under: Brassica napus (rape)
Lineage: Eukaryota; Viridiplantae; Streptophyta; Magnoliopsida; Brassicales; Brassicaceae
Description: long non-coding RNA (BNAP_LNC012338)
Source: RNAcentral
ACUUCUUAAAUAUACAUAUACAUAUACAUAUACUUUCUUGUUUCCUUUUAUUCUUGAAACAAAAAUCAGCUUUAUGAUAAAAGAAUCACAGUCAAUUAAUUUAUAUCGUUUAGGAUGAAAAAAACAUUUAUAUUAACCAGCGGGGUUAGCCUAGUGGUAUUUGAGGGAGCUUCGGUCCCGAUACGGUCCCGGGUUCGAUUCCCACUGGCCACACGGAUAUGAGCUAUGCUUUCGGCUCAUUUGAAUGCCCAGGAGAGGGUCUAUCCGUGGGCUGUACCUCCACCCGGGGGUUAGGUCUGUGUCUUUAAUAGACCCGGGUUUAACCCUUUUUUUUAUCAAAAAAAAAAAAAAAAAAAAACAUUUAUAUUUUCGUUUAAUGUUCCGAGUAUUGUCGUCAUUCUUGUACUAGGUUUGUGUUUAUGAUUUUGUAAUAUAUUACAUUUGUUCCUAACAUAAACAAAUUGGAAUUAAGUUAAAAAAAAAAAAAAAAAAUUGGAAUUUUUAUUUCUGUUUUUCUUCUUCACUGCAGCAUGUUACUUUAGUAAUUAAUAAACUCAGUUGUUAUAGAUAUUUUGUUAUAGUUCAUUUUCACUGAAAUUGCAUAAUAUCGGAUUGAUUUCAUAUAUAAAAUGUCCAUACUAGACCUAUAAAUUUGAACUACCGUAGUUUUGUAGUAGAUCUAUGGAACCGAUUUCCAAAAGGCCUUUUAUGUUAUUUCUUCACCUUUUUUUCUUAUUUAUCAGUACAUAUACGGUCAUGUAUUAUGAAUUCUUAAUUGAUUCAACAAACUCUUUUUCAUCAAUAAUUCAGUUUGUCCCGAGUAAAUUAAUAUGUAAAGCUAUAAAAUUUUUGUGUAAGAAAUAACAAUGAUCCAUCAUUUUACAUGUAAAUUAACAUGAUAUGUUUAGAUUAUCUUUAUAUCAGAUUAUUUACAAUUUUUGUAUGUCUAAAAGUUAAUCAGUGAGUUUUAGAAAUAUAUAAUUAUUACUUUGAAUAUUUUAAUAAUAUGUAAAAAAUUAUCGAAAACAUUUACUUUCACAUCCAAAGAAUACUGUUAUUUUUAUUACAUAAUCCGAGAUUUAUAUAUUUUAUACAUAACAGUAGCCGGGACAAUGGGGAAUAUAAGGCAGGAGAGUCAAAAAGAAAUGCAUUUGUGUAUGGUAAUUCUAAAUAACCAAAAACCUGGAAAAUGUGCGAAGGCAGAUUGUUUAUCUACGUGUAAGAAGCAGACGCAA